RNAcentral lists this ribosomal RNA (304 nucleotides) under uncultured bacterium. RNAcentral describes it as "bacterial SSU rRNA". It matches the Rfam family "Bacterial small subunit ribosomal RNA", at positions 794 to 1094 of the family's 1533-position model. The record is from RNAcentral.
UCCACGCCCUAAACGAUGCACACUAGUUGUUGGGAUGCUAGUCAUCUCAGUAAUGCAGUUAACACAUUAAGUGUGCCGCCUGGGGAGUACGGUCGCAAGAUUAAAACUCAAAGGAAUAGACGGGGACCCGCACAAGCGGUGGAGCAUGUGGUUUAAUUCGAAAAUACACGAAGAACCUUACCUAGCCUUGAUAUCCUUGGAAUCCUAUAGAGAUAUGGGAGUGCUAGUUUACUAGAACCAAGUGACAGGUGCUGCACGGCUGUCGUCAGCUCGUGUCGUGAGAUGUUGGGUUAAUCCCGCAACG